GAUGAACGCUGGCGGCGUGCUUAACACAUGCAAGUCGAGCGAGAAGUUUUGAAAAGAUUCUUCGGAUGAAAUUUAAAACGGAAAGCGGCGGACGGGUGAGUAACGCGUAGGCAACCUGCCCCAUACAAAGGGAUAGCAUUUGGAAACGAAUAUUAAUACCUUAUGAAACUUAACUAGUGCAUGCUAGGUAGGUCAAAGAUUUAUCGGUAUGGGAUGGGCCUGCGUCUGAUUAGCUAGUUGGUGAGGUAACGGCUCACCAAGGCGACGAUCAGUAGCCGACCUGAGAGGGUGAACGGCCACAUUGGAACUGAGACACGGUCCAAACUCCUACGGGAGGCAGCAGUGGGGAAUAUUGCACAAUGGGGGAAACCCUGAUGCAGCAACGCCGCGUGAACGAUGAAGGCCUUUGGGUCGUAAAGUUCUGUUCUAGGUGAUGAAAACUGACAGUAACCUAGGAGAAAGCCCCGGCUAACUCCGUG
Molecule: ribosomal RNA, 479 nt
Filed under: uncultured bacterium
Lineage: Bacteria
Description: partial 16S ribosomal RNA
Rfam family: Bacterial small subunit ribosomal RNA
Source: RNAcentral